GUGGGGAAUAUUGGACAAUGGGCGAAAGCCUGAUCCAGCCAUGCCGCGUGUGUGAAGAAGGUCUUCGGAUUGUAAAGCACUUUAAGUUGGGAGGAAGGGCUGCUGGCUAAUACCCUGCAGUUUUGACGUUACCAACAGAAUAAGCACCGGCUAACUUCGUGCCAGCAGCCGCGGUAAUACGAAGGGUGCAAGCGUUAAUCGGAAUUACUGGGCGUAAAGCGCGCGUAGGUGGUUCAGCAAGUUGGAUGUGAAAGCCCCGGGCUCAACCUGGGAACUGCAUCCAAAACUACUGGGCUAGAGUACGGUAGAGGGUGGUGGAAUUUCCUGUGUAGCGGUGAAAUGCGUAGAUAUAGGAAGGAACACCAGUGGCGAAGGCGACCACCUGGACUGAUACUGACACUGAGGUGCGAAAGCGUGGGGAGCAAACAGGAUUAGAUACCCCUGUAGUCC
This 450-nucleotide ribosomal RNA is filed under the name uncultured bacterium. RNAcentral describes it as "bacterial SSU rRNA". It matches the Rfam family "Bacterial small subunit ribosomal RNA", at positions 354 to 796 of the family's 1533-position model. The record is from RNAcentral.